RNAcentral lists this small nuclear RNA (23 nucleotides) under Arabidopsis thaliana (thale cress). RNAcentral describes it as "snRNA_18126". Lineage: Eukaryota; Viridiplantae; Streptophyta; Magnoliopsida; Brassicales; Brassicaceae. The record is from RNAcentral.
CACAGUUUACCAAGUUACCUCAA